This 256-nucleotide ribosomal RNA is filed under the name uncultured bacterium. RNAcentral's name for it is "partial 16S ribosomal RNA". It matches the Rfam family "Bacterial small subunit ribosomal RNA", at positions 524 to 776 of the family's 1533-position model. The record is from RNAcentral.
UACGUAGGGUGCAAGCGUUGUCCGGAAUUAUUGGGCGUAAAGAGCUCGUAGGCGGUCUGUCGCGUCUGCUGUGAAAACUCGGGGCUUAACCCCGGGCCUGCAGUGGGUACGGGCAGACUAGAGUGCGGUAGGGGAGACUGGAAUUCCUGGUGUAGCGGUGGAAAUGCGCAGAUAUCAGGAGGGAACACCGGUGGCGAAGGCGGGUCUCUGGGCCGUAACUGACGCUGGAGGAGCGAAAGCGUGGGGAGCGAACAGG